UCAAGUACAUGAUGAUUGCUUAAAGCAAUGGGAAUCUCUCUGAAAACACUGAGGAUAUACAUUACUAUCUGAUACUUGA
This is a small nucleolar RNA of Ruditapes philippinarum (Manila clam), 79 nucleotides long. RefSeq annotates it as small nucleolar RNA SNORD79. NCBI's taxonomy places the organism in Eukaryota, Metazoa, Mollusca, Bivalvia, Venerida, Veneridae. The transcript has a single exon. The record is from RefSeq and is a predicted model, not a curated record.